This 370-nucleotide ribosomal RNA is filed under the name uncultured eukaryote. RNAcentral's name for it is "partial 18S ribosomal RNA". It matches the Rfam family "Eukaryotic small subunit ribosomal RNA", at positions 592 to 976 of the family's 1831-position model. The record is from RNAcentral.
CAAUAGCGUAUAUUAAAGUUGUUGCAGUUAAAAAGCUCGUAGUUGGAUUUCUGGUCGGAAGCUCCUGUCCUCUGAUGAGCGUACAAGUGCGUCCUACCAUCCUUCUGUUAACCUUUAAGGCUUUCGCGGCUUUCUAGGGGCUCAGAUAUUUUACCUUGAGAAAAUUAGAGUGUUUCAGGCAGGCUAGCGCCGGAAUACAUUAGCAUGGAAUAGUGGAAUAGGACUUUUGCCUCUUCUGUUGGUCAUGAGGCUCGAGUAAUGAUUAAUAGGGAUAGUUGGGGGCAUUAGUACUUAACUGUCAGAGGUGAAAUUCUCGGAUUUGUUAAAGACUAACUUAUGCGAAAGCAUUUGCCAAGGAUGUUUUCAUUAA